This 543-nucleotide ribosomal RNA is filed under the name uncultured bacterium. Its description in RNAcentral is "bacterial SSU rRNA". It matches the Rfam family "Bacterial small subunit ribosomal RNA", at positions 355 to 912 of the family's 1533-position model. The record is from RNAcentral.
UGGGGAAUCUUGGACAAUGGGGGCAACCCUGAUCCAGCCAUGCCGCGUGAGUGAUGAAGGCCUUAGGGUCGUAAAGCUCUUUCGCCUGUGAAGAUAAUGACGGUAGCAGGUAAAGAAACCCCGGCUAACUCCGUGCCAGCAGCCGCGGUAAUACGGAGGGGGUUAGCGUUGUUCGGAAUUACUGGGCGUAAAGCGCACGUAGGCGGACCAGAAAGUUGGGGGUGAAAUCCCGGGGGCUCAACCCCGGAACUGCCUCCAAAACUAUUGGUCUAGAGUUCGAGAGAGGUGAGUGGAAUUCCAAGUGUAGAGGUGAAAUUCGUAGAUAUUUGGAGGAACACCAGUGGCGAAGGCGGCUCACUGGCUCGAUACUGACGCUGAGGUGCGAAAGUGUGGGGAGCAAAACAGGAUUAGAUACCCUGGUAGUCCACACCGUAAAACGAUGAAUGCCAGUCGUCGGGGUAGCAUGCUAUUCGGUGACACACCUAACGGAUUAAGCAUUCCGCCUGGGGAGUACGGUCGCAAGAUUAAAACUCAAAGGAAUUG